Molecule: ribosomal RNA, 466 nt
Filed under: uncultured bacterium
Lineage: Bacteria
Description: partial 16S ribosomal RNA
Rfam family: Bacterial small subunit ribosomal RNA
Source: RNAcentral
CGACCGCUGGCGGCGUGCUUACCACAUGCACGUCGAACGGCAAGGCCCUGCUUUUGUGGGGUGCUCGAGUGGCGAACGGGUGAGUAACACGUGAGUAACCUGCCCUUGACUUUGGGAUAACUUCAGGAAACUGGGGCUAAUACCGGAUAGGAGCUCCUGCUGCAUGGUGGGGGUUGGAAAGUUUCGGCGGUUGGGGAUGGACUCGCGGCUUAUCAGCUUGUUGGUGGGGUAGUGGCUUACCAAGGCUUUGACGGGUAGCCGGCCUGAGAGGGUGACCGGCCACAUUGGGACUGAGAUACGGCCCAGACUCCUACGGGAGGCAGCAGUGGGGAAUAUUGCACAAUGGGCGGAAGCCUGAUGCAGCAACGCCGCGUGCGGGAUGACGGCCUUCGGGUUGUAAACCGCUUUCGCCUGUGACGAAGCGUGAGUGACGGUAAUGGGUAAAGAAGCACCGGCUAACUACGUG